CAGUGCAGAGGCCCUGCGCUGCCACCUCCGGGACCAUGUGAAUGUAUCCAUGGUAGAGGUCACAGAUUUUCCCUUCAAUACCUCGGAAUGGGAGGGUUAUCUGCCCAAGGAGAGCAUUAGGACCAAGGCUGGGCCUUGGGGCAGGUGUGCUGUUGUGUCGUCAGCGGGAUCUCUGAAGUCCUCCCAACUAGGCAGAGAAAUCGAUGAUCAUGACGCAGUCCUGAGGUUUAAUGGGGCACCCACAGCCAACUUCCAACAAGAUGUGGGCACAAAAACUACCAUUCGCCUGAUGAACUCUCAGGUAAAAUUUCUUCUGUGCAGCUAUGGAGUAAGAGAAGGACCACAGUGUGGGCUCUAAUGUGGAAUGUAUCUACUGGGAGCAUAUCUAGGCCGCCAAUUAAGUCUCUUGAUCUUCCUGAGUUCCUGAUUCCUCACUGGAGAAGAAGACAAUGAUUCCAUGACCCAACCUGAUGAUGUGUUUAUUUAAAGAAAAA
This 494-nucleotide small RNA is filed under the name Pan troglodytes (chimpanzee). Its description in RNAcentral is "retained intron". Lineage: Eukaryota; Metazoa; Chordata; Mammalia; Primates; Hominidae. The record is from RNAcentral.